UCUGGUAGCCUAUCUUGCGAUUUUUGCUAUGGGAAAAAAAACAUGGGUAGAGAAUUAUUGCACUCUCCCGGGGACGAAGAAGUCUGAAAUGCAGACAUUUUGCUCAAGACACUUUUGUCCUCUGCCUUCGAGUGGUAGGCUGUGAUCUUCGGUAGGCCUUCGUUAAGACAGCAACUUAGAUUUGUGCUACCCCAGACCUAACUUGCAAUGUAACUUGUCAUAGGUAGUUAGGUUAAAUUAACACCCUGAUCUCCUUAUAGGCAAAGAUGGCAGUUUUGGUUCCUUUUUGUAGGCGAACCUCAGAGGUCUGUUGGGAAGCAUACAGGAAAGGGCAGAAUGUGUGUAGUAGGCUAUACACAGCUGCCAUACUGGCUUUACAAACUAAGCCCAUGCAUUUCUAAGCAUGCUUUGUCUCCCCAAUAGAAAAUGGGCUACAAUGCAAAAAUCAAGUCAAAAGCUGGGCCACAUAUCCAGUCAAGAAAAUCUGGUUGUGUACAGAUUCAUACACCAAAGCUAUGGAAAAAUGUCAGCAGCUGAUGGACACUUCUAGCAUUGAGGCGGAAGAAGAUGCGAGCGUCCACAAAAGGCAGUGCAGGGUCAAGUGAUGAUGAAUCCGUUCCGCAAGCAAGAAAACAUUCCAGGACGGUGCGUGUGCCUGAAAGCCCUGUCUGUAAGUUAACAUUUAUACAUAUUUGUCCUACCAUGGAACUACUGAAAUUCAUGUUUAUUAACCUGGUGCAUAUCAUGUGACUGUUCUGAUGUAUUUAUCUCUUCCUGCCUUUUUUUAGGUCAGCAGACGUCACUGCCUCCACCACCUGCAUGUGAGUUUUUCUUUUUAGCGAUUGUUUAAUGUAACAGCAUAGGUUUAUCUUUCGCAAAUGUCAUGUGCAAGAAACCUACCAUAAAUUAACUGACCAAUUUUCAUAUUUACUUUCUUUUUAGAUGAGUCAACACCACACAGGCAACCAGCUCAUUGCCCAGAGCUGGAUGGGUCUAUUAUAAUGCCUGCCACUUCAUCUUGGGACCCAGUUGAAGCACAAGUGACUCAUCACACAGAGGGAGGUGGCUUGGCCAUGGAGACGGAAAUAAGAGCAAUAAGGACAACCAUUACCGCAUGGCACAACGAAUGGAUGUAUUUGAGGAGAAGAUGGAUGAGCUGCUCAUGCUCUUAAGGAGCUCCCAG
Alosa alosa (allis shad) is the source of this 1183-nucleotide long non-coding RNA. RefSeq lists it as uncharacterized. NCBI's taxonomy places the organism in Eukaryota, Metazoa, Chordata, Actinopteri, Clupeiformes, Clupeidae. The record is from RefSeq and is a predicted model, not a curated record. The transcript is spliced from 5 exons.